This 634-nucleotide ribosomal RNA is filed under the name uncultured Bacteroidales bacterium. RNAcentral describes it as "bacterial SSU rRNA". It matches the Rfam family "Bacterial small subunit ribosomal RNA", at positions 135 to 767 of the family's 1533-position model. The record is from RNAcentral. Lineage: Bacteria; Pseudomonadati; Bacteroidota; Bacteroidia; Bacteroidales.
ACUCUUGGACAGCCUUCUGAAAGGAAGAUUAAUACAAGAUGGCAUCAUGAGUCCACAUGUUCACAUGAUUAAAGGUAUUCCGGUAGACGAUGGGGAUGCGUUCCAUUAGAUAGUAGGCGGGGUAACGGCCCACCUAGUCUUCGAUGGAUAGGGGUUCUGAGAGGAAGGUCCCCCACAUUGGAACUGAGACACGGUCCAAACUCCUACGGGAGGCAGCAGUGAGGAAUAUUGGUCAAUGGGCGAGAGCCUGAACCAGCCAAGUAGCGUGAAGGAUGACUGCCCUAUGGGUUGUAAACUUCUUUUAUAAAGGAAUAAAGUCGGGUAUGCAUACCCGUUUGCAUGUACUUUAUGAAUAAGGAUCGGCUAACUCCGUGCCAGCAGCCGCGGUAAUACGGAGGAUCCGAGCGUUAUCCGGAUUUAUUGGGUUUAAAGGGAGCGUAGAUGGAUGUUUAAGUCAGUUGUGAAAGUUUGCGGCUCAACCGUAAAAUUGCAGUUGAUACUGGAUAUCUUGAGUGCAGUUGAGGCAGGCGGAAUUCGUGGUGUAGCGGUGAAAUGCUUAGAUAUCACGAAGAACUCCGAUUGCGAAGGCAGCCUGCUAAGCUGCAACUGACAUUGAGGCUCGAAAGUGUGGGUA